UUUUAUGAGAGUUUGAUCCUGGCUCAGGACGAACGCUGGCGGCGUGCCUAAUACAUGCAAGUCGUACGCUUCUUUUUCCACCGGAGCUUGCUCCACCGGAAAAAGAGGAGUGGCGAACGGGUGAGUAACACGUGGGUAACCUGCCCAUCAGAAGGGGAUAACACUUGGAAACAGGUGCUAAUACCGUAUAACAAUCGAAACCGCAUGGUUUUGAUUUG
RNAcentral lists this ribosomal RNA (218 nucleotides) under Enterococcus faecium. RNAcentral describes it as "partial 16S ribosomal RNA". It matches the Rfam family "Bacterial small subunit ribosomal RNA", at positions 1 to 203 of the family's 1533-position model. Lineage: Bacteria; Bacillati; Bacillota; Bacilli; Lactobacillales; Enterococcaceae. The record is from RNAcentral. RNAcentral also lists the same sequence under 3 other names.